RNAcentral lists this unclassified non-coding RNA (307 nucleotides) under plant metagenome. RNAcentral describes it as "partial contains 5.8S ribosomal RNA, internal transcribed spacer 2, and large subunit ribosomal RNA". The stretch from base 1 to 105 matches the Rfam family "5.8S ribosomal RNA", at positions 50 to 154 of the family's 154-position model. The record is from RNAcentral.
GAAAUGCGAUAAGUAAUGUGAAUUGCAGAAUUCAGUGAAUCAUCGAAUCUCUGAACGCACAUUGCGCCCGCCAGCACUCUGGCGGGCAUGCCUGUUCGAGCGUCAUUUCAACCCUCAGAACCCCUUGCGGGAUCUGGCGUUGGGGAUUGGCAUCCAGCCAGCCCCGAAAUCUAGUGGCGGUCCCUCCGCGACCUCCCCUGUGCAGUAGCGAUACCUCGCAGCGGGACAGCGGUCUGACCACGCCGUAAAACCCCCAACUUCUCAAGGUUGACCUCGAAUCAGGUAGGAAAACCCGCUGAACUUAAGC